AUUGAACGCUGGCGGCAUGCCUUACACAUGCAAGUCGAACGGCAGCACGGGAGCAAUCCUGGUGGCGAGUGGCGAACGGGUGAGUAAUAUAUCGGAACGUGCCCAGUCGUGGGGAUAACGUAGCGAAAGCUACGCUAAUACCGCAUACGAUCUAUGGAUGAAAGCGGGGGAUCGCAAGACCUCGCGCGAUUGGAGCGGCCGAUAUCAGAUUAGGUAGUUGGUGAGGUAAAGGCGUCACCAAGCCGACGAUCUGUAGCUGGUCUGAGAGGACGACCAGCCACACUGGGACUGAGACACGGCCCAGACUCCUACGGGAGGCAGCAGUGGGAAUUUUGGACAAUGGGCGCAAGGCCUGAUCCCAGCAAUGCCGC
RNAcentral lists this ribosomal RNA (371 nucleotides) under uncultured bacterium. Its description in RNAcentral is "bacterial SSU rRNA". It matches the Rfam family "Bacterial small subunit ribosomal RNA", at positions 30 to 400 of the family's 1533-position model. The record is from RNAcentral.